GAAAAUUAUUCCUAACUAAAGCUUCUAUAUUCUCUGUACAAGCAGAGUCCAAAAAGUUAUUACCCUCAUCAUGAUAUGAAUGUGGUAGGGAUCUGAAAUUUGGUCCUCUGAUUAGUUCUUCCUUCUUUACAUAUCCAUCUCCUAAGACUACACACUUUUCAUACAUGUGGAACAGUUAUUUAAGCCUAUUUUUGCAAAAGCCAGCAGAUUUGGAGGCAAACCAGCUCUCCACAGCAGUAAUUAUCAUAUCAUCAAAGAAAUUUCUUUCCUGUAAAUAUAUUUUUCAUAUUUUGAAACAGGAAGAAGAUGCUAGAUCAGAAAAAUAUGGAAAUGGAGCAAGAUUUCAUAGCCAUAUUUGUGCAGAAAAGUGACUGUUUCUGCAACUUAAUGUGCAGGUGCAUUAUUAGCUAACAACAAUCUUUUGAUUGCAAACUAAGUCUUUUUUCAUCAAUUCUGCCCCAUAACUUUUUUAGUAAGUUCCUGUAGUAUGCUCUUAUUAUUGUCAUCUCUUUAUAUAAAUAAUCUGU
This 527-nucleotide long non-coding RNA is filed under the name Androctonus crassicauda. The record is from RNAcentral. Lineage: Eukaryota; Metazoa; Arthropoda; Arachnida; Scorpiones; Buthidae.